Molecule: long non-coding RNA, 1261 nt
Organism: Asparagus officinalis (garden asparagus)
Lineage: Eukaryota; Viridiplantae; Streptophyta; Magnoliopsida; Asparagales; Asparagaceae
Exons: 6
Source: RefSeq, a predicted model, not a curated record
CCGCCGUUAUCAACUCCCCCAUUCUCCCCACCAACUGCUCGAACGACGGUCGCCUCCUUGGAUCGCUUCACCGCCCAAAUGAAAAACACAAUCGCAGAUGAUGGAGGAGACUCGAGGGUCCAUGUUUGGAGCAAACAGCAAAAUAACUGACCUGGAGAGGGCUGAGCUGGCUCCAGGGGACGGAUUCGGUCAUGAGCUCCCACAAAACGACGCCGAAGCUGAACACGUCUGACCUGAAAAAGACCCAUCUCUGGAACCCGUGCAAUCACCUUGAGGAAUUGGUGGUGGUGAAUCUUCCUUCUACGGUAAGAGAUUGCAAUUUGAAGAUUGUGCUUGAUGCCUGGAAAUGAAUCCAAAGGCUUUGCUUAACCAUGGUCAGUCGAAAGAUAAAGCUCAACAAGGAGCCAGGCAAAGGUGGAUAACUAGAGAUCUAUUUUUUGCGUGACAAUCAUAUAACUAAUAUAAGAGUGACAAAAAUUACAGGACAAGCUUCAGCAAAAUGUUCAAUUUGUUGACAUGAAUUUUGUGGAAUACGGUUACUGAGAUGAAUUUAGAACAAUCGGUAGAUUUGGUAGGAUUAAUUGCAUGCUGAUUUAUGUGUAUCUUUUUAUUGCAAUAUAAAGAAUUACAUCAGGAUAUUUGUUUACAUCCAUGAUCCAUUUACAGCGUUCAACAUUCUUUGCUGUUGUUUAUUUAAAUUAAUAAACAUUUAAAUGUUUAAAUCGGCUGCAAAGAUUUUGCAUUUGUGAUUUUUUUUUUGUUUCUUCGUUUUUUUUUUGUUUUUGUUGAAUAUGCUGUGUAAAUCCUCAAUGAUGUUUUAUGGGAACAAUUAUUUCCUUCUUUACUUUCGAAUAACCUCCUACAACACAACCCUUCACUUUACUACUCAGAUAUUUCCCGGUUACUGAUUUUGAGUCAAUACCUAAUAUUAGUUGUUGGUUUAAAGCCAAAUUCAUGUUAAUUUAAGGAUGAUAUGUGAUGCAUAACGUUGUCCACGAGAGUGACUUUGAUUAGCAGAUGUUGGCAAAUGGGUGGAUUAUAAUCUAUAAUUGUUGCCAAAAAGGCAAAAAGGGACAUGAGGUUGGCAGUGAAUUAUUAAACGAGGUCUAAGAUUUCGUGAAAUCAUAACGGGUAUAAUUAUCUUUUACUUAGUCAAACCUCAUAGUUUGUAAUCCACCUAAAAAUAAGCCAGGUAUUAUCUGUAAUUAGAAAAUGCUGUUUGGGUUGAAUUUGAGGGAGAUGGUCCGACAAAAGAAGGUAC